Molecule: ribosomal RNA, 173 nt
Filed under: Acinetobacter baumannii
Lineage: Bacteria; Pseudomonadati; Pseudomonadota; Gammaproteobacteria; Moraxellales; Moraxellaceae
Description: partial 16S ribosomal RNA
Rfam family: Bacterial small subunit ribosomal RNA
Source: RNAcentral
UGCGCUAAUAGAUGAGCCUAAGUCGGAUUAGCUAGUUGGUGGGGUAAAGGCCUACCAAGGCGACGAUCUGUAGCGGGUCUGAGAGGAUGAUCCGCCACACUGGGACUGAGACACGGCCCAGACUCCUACGGGAGGCAGCAGUGGGGAAUAUUGGACAAUGGGGGGAACCCUGA